RNAcentral lists this ribosomal RNA (444 nucleotides) under Latizanchius sp. 19050b-34. RNAcentral's name for it is "partial large subunit ribosomal RNA". Lineage: Eukaryota; Metazoa; Arthropoda; Insecta; Hemiptera; Miridae. The record is from RNAcentral.
GACUGUACAAAGGUAGCAUAAUCAUUUGUCUUUUAAUUGAGGUCUGGAAUGAAUGGUCGGAUGAGAAAUAUACUUUUUUUAUUUUAUAAGAAAAAAUUGAUUUUUGAGUUAAAAAGCUUAAAUUCUUUUAUGGGACGAGAAGACCCUAUAGAAUUUUAUUUUGAAAAUAUAUAUGUUUUUAUAGUUUGUUUUUGGAUGUAUAUAUAAUAUAAAUUUUGUUGGGGUGACAAAAAAAAUUUUAUAACUUUUUUUAUUUUUUACAUUAUUUUAUGUUUAAUUUGAUCCUUUUUUUUGAAAAAAGAACAAAUUACCUUAGGGAUAACAGCGUUAUUAUUUUGGAGAGUUCAUAUUGAUGAAAUAGUUUGCGACCUCGAUGUUGGAUUAAAAUAAAGUAUAGGGGUAGAAUAUUAUAUUUUGGGUCUGUUCAACCGAUAAGUUUUUACA